AGAUUGAACGCUGGCGGCAUGCUUUACACAUGCAAGUCGAACGGCAGCAUGGGGGCAACCCUGGUGGCGAGUGGCGAACGGGUGAGUAAUGCAUCGGAACGUAUCUUUAAGUGGGGGAUAACGCAUCGAAAGAUGCGCUAAUACCGCAUAAUCUCUGAGGAGAAAAGCAGGGGAUCGCAAGACCUUGCGCUUUUGGAGCGGCCGAUGUCUGAUUAGCUAGUUGGUGGGUAAAGGCUUACCAAGGCUUCGAUCAGUAGCUGGUCUGAGAGGACGACCAGCCACACUGGGACUGAGACACGGCCCAGACUCCUACGGGAGGCAGCAGUGGGAAUUUUGGACAAUGGGGAAACCCUGAUCCAGCCAUGCCGCGUGAGUGAAGAAGGCCUUCGGUUGUAAGCUCUUUCAGCCGAACGAACGGUUACGGUUAAUAACCGUGACUACUGACGUACGAAGAAGAAGCACGCUAACUACGUGCCGAGCAGCCG
RNAcentral lists this ribosomal RNA (485 nucleotides) under uncultured soil bacterium. Its description in RNAcentral is "bacterial SSU rRNA". It matches the Rfam family "Bacterial small subunit ribosomal RNA", at positions 26 to 517 of the family's 1533-position model. The record is from RNAcentral.